RNAcentral lists this transfer RNA (54 nucleotides) under Frullania jackii. RNAcentral describes it as "partial tRNA-Leu". Lineage: Eukaryota; Viridiplantae; Streptophyta; Jungermanniopsida; Porellales; Frullaniaceae. The record is from RNAcentral.
ACUUAAAAUCCGUUGGCUUUAUAGACCAUGAGGGUUCAAGUCCCUCUACCCCCA